This 253-nucleotide ribosomal RNA is filed under the name uncultured bacterium. RNAcentral describes it as "partial 16S ribosomal RNA". It matches the Rfam family "Bacterial small subunit ribosomal RNA", at positions 524 to 776 of the family's 1533-position model. The record is from RNAcentral.
UACGAAGGGGGCUGGCGUUGCUCGGAAUCACUGGGCGUAAAGGGUGCGUAGGCGGGGCUUUAAGUCAGGGGUGAAAUCCUGGAGCUCAACUCCAGAACUGCCUUUGAUACUGAAGAUCUUGAGUGCGGGAGAGGUGAGUGGAACUGCGAGUGUAGAGGUGAAAUUCGUAGAUAUUCGCAAGAACACCAGUGGCGAAGGCGGCUCACUGGCCCGAUACUGACGCUGAGGCACGAAAGCGUGGGGAGCAAACAGG